UAGAAUAGUUUUCCACUGGGAACAUAAUUAGCUCUAGAGAUGGAUCUUUACUGAGCCAGGUAGGGCUUUCCAUUUGUAUAAUAUAUAUUUGAUGAAUAGUGGAAUGAGUUGUGCUUCUUUGCAUUUAACUGACAUGAGGUCUCUAACAAUUCACUCAGGCACAUUGCCUCCAGCAGAAUAAUGGUUUGAUCACUGUAAUAUUUUUCAUGGAUAGUAGUGGUAUGUUGUCAGUUUGCUUUUUGUGUAUCUCAUGGCGUUUCUAUAGGAAAACAGGAAAGUUGCCACUCAGGCCUGAGAAGGAAAAAAUAACCCUGACACUUUCAUUUCGUCUUUGAUAGUAUUAUUCUCUCUGACCAUGCUCAUACUGAAAAUGCACAGAAGCAGCAAUAUUAUUUACUCUAUAUGUCAUUUGAACAGAAGGAUAAAGAGCAGGACUUUAUUAAUAGACUUGUUAUUUCUUUAGAAGUAUUGACUUGCCUGGUUUGGUGUCAACUCAACAUGAAGAGGAAAAGUAAUUCUUGUCUAUAGAAUUUUUGCAAACUAAAACUUAAAAUGAGCAUUUCUGGGGUGGAACCCUGCCUAAGCCUCUGUGCCAUAAGAAAAGUAAUUUCCUGUAGACUCUUCUGGCUGGAAGUGUAGUCAGGGCUGGUUCAAAGUAACACAUCUCAGAAUACUGCUUAUGUGUCCUUAUGCUGGUUCUUUGGGAAGUAGUCUUGUGUCAGUUAUUGUCUGGGUUUUGGUCCAAGUCAAGCUGCUUGGACACAUCUCUCAUUGUAAUAAUUGACAUGCAAUUUCCCUUUUCUUGAUUUAAUGAAGUUGAAAUCACAUUCUCAUUGUUGAAUGUAAUAUACCUGGGUAGAAAAACUCCAUGAAAUUUUUAUAUAUUUAGUUGGUAAUUAACACUUAUCAGAAUAUAAUGUCAUUUGCUUAUCUUGCCUUUUUUUUUACUUCAGAGCUGACAGCACAAAAAUAGCUUGGCUUGACUGAGAGAGACUGUUUUGCUGCAAGUCUAGAAAUUAGCUUUGUCUGCUACUUGCCUACAGAUGUGUGUCUAGGUGAUAGUUUUAAGGUCUGUAUUCUUCCUGAGCUUCCCAGAGAAGCUUUUUUUCAGAGGGUUCCAAACAAGGCAGUAGCAGUUUCACUGCUCAGUCUGCCUUCUUGCCCUCCUGCAAUCCUGUGUACCAUUAGAGGUUGCCACGUUCACCAGCAAACAAAUUUCCUACCAAGCAGGAGUUAGUAGGAGGUGGUAUCUCCACCUGUCCUCUUGAGCAAAGGAAGGAUUCUCGCUUUGUCCCAUUUUCCCUGCGGUGUGGCAUUGCCACCUCUGUAUGGCCAUAAGUAACUAUGAAUCUGGCUGGCUGUUUUGAAGGUAAUUUUCAUCCCUUCCCCACGACAGAGGUCAGUCUGCUUAGCUCAUUGCACAGAAAAACUGCGCUCUGAGUUAUAUGCUCUAUAAGCAAGUCUCACUAAGGUGAUGAAUCACUGAAGGGGAAGAGGCAAGUCUAAAGUAGGAAAGUCUAACAGUCUAUUGUAUCCUUGUCUUAAUUAAAGGUUUGGAGUAGAUGUGAAAAAGAGAUAAUGAACUCUCACUAAAGAGUGGGAGGAAAACCAGCUGCAGGUAGUCUUGACUUCAAACAUGACUGGCAGAAUACCAGCCUGGAACUCAAAUCAUCCUCUUUGCUUCAGUAGUCUAGUGAGAGCAUCUGUUUUCCAUUAGGAUGUUGGUAUUUUAUUUACCUGUUUAUACAGAGGCCUAUUUCUAUUUUCUUGGAAUUAAAUGUAGUUCAAUUUCAGACCAUUCAGGAUUUUUAUAAACAUUAAUCCAGCUGCAAGUAACAAAAGGAAAAAUAGAGAUUCUAUAAAAAACCUUCAUAUGAUUAUGUAGGAGGGGUAGAAAAUGCAUGAUUUAAAUAAAAAUGCAGUCAUAAGACAGAUCUCUCAUUCAAGUGGCUAGAGGUUUAUAGGAAUGAGAUAAUCACUGGAAGUCAAUCUGUCAGUUACUUGUGCCUGUUGUGAAGCACUCGACCUGCUCUGUUCAGUCUGACAGUAAUACUUUCAUGUUUGCCAUUGCUAUAGAGAAUAUGCAGGCAGCCUUCCACACCUACACUACCUCAGUGACAAUUCUUGCAGUGUUUAAAAGACUGAAUGAAGAGAUGGUUAUGUAUUUAUACUCCUCAACCUCUUAAAAUACAAUUCUCAUCUAAGCUUUUGCAGUCCUGUUCCACUCCUCCGCUUGCUGUAAAUCACAACUUUCCACUUCAAUGAAACGUUGUAUGGCACUCCAUGCUCUCCAAGACAAACUGUGCAGGACUCUGUCAUUUUUAAAGUGCAAAGGCAAUGAGACCCUCUUUUGGCAGUGACAGACUGGGAUAAGAGCAGCAAACAGACAUUGAUGCUGGGUACUUUGUUAGCACCAGCAACUUCGUGGAGAGCUGUUUCUUCUGCAAAGUGCAAAGGAACAUUCAAAUCAAACUGAUUGCACAGAGCUGAGAUGAAGGCAAUUCUUACACUGUUUAGCAUCAGUCAAACUAAAAUAUUUCCUAACUUUUCUGUUAAAAAAAAAAGCUUCCCUUUUGAAUGGUUCAUGCUUAACUGAAAUUUUAGACCAAGAGAAGCCCAGCUCAGAAUCCCUUUUUUGUUCCAAGGUUUUGAAAAAAAAUUAAAUUAAUUGAGAGUUUUUGAGGGAUGUUUUGUCCUGAACUGCUUUUACCUGCAAACAAAUAUGAAAACAAAGCCCAGUAAGUUUGUAAGUUCUAUUUUCAAAAGAGUACUUGAGUGGGAAACAUUAAAUGAAAUACUAAUUUUUUCAUUUUGAUGCAUUUGAUUCCAUAGAAAAUGAUCAAUGAAUUGUAACUGCCAGCACUUUUCUGAAAUGCAUUGUAAAAAAUAAUGUAAUAAUUAAGUACAGAAAUGCAUGUUGGUCUCUGAUAUUUUUUACUUAAGAGUCUUCUUGCCUUGGAAGGUAAUAUAUAUUAUGCCAUCCUGAUGGAAUACUACUGUCUUAUAAAGAAAACUAAAUUUGCUAAAUUUUGCAAAUCACCAUAAACAUAAUUACCUCCUGCUGAGAAUCUAAGUGAUUAUUCAUAGCAUCAUUACUUUUAGUAGUUAAGACUUUAAUUUCCUUCAGAAUAUGAUUCUUUCCUUCCUAAAUUAUAAAAGUCAGGCCAAAAAGCUAUGUAUGAUUGGUCAACAUAUAGAAAUUUUGUUAUGUUUGUUCCAUGCCAGAACACACAUUAAAUCUUCACCUUUUAUGGUGAAUCAAAGAAACCUUUAAAUGCUACCUGAGCUGGUAGGGAUCUGUGAGUUAGGAGAGCGACCCAGUCAAGGGAGAAGGAGAUGAUGUGUCUGUCCAUUUGAGCAGAUUUUGAGAGUGUGUGUGAAACCCUUCGGCCAGCAGACAUGUCUCUGUGCUUUCUUCUGCAGCAGCCAAGUUUCUGAUCCUGCAGAGGGCUCAUGAAUAUUUGUGGUGAUUCUUAUUGAAUACAGGGAGCAGAAUUUCACUCCCUGUAAAUUGUUCCAGAUGAGGUUGCUUUCUCCUCUCAAUGCCGGAGAUGGUACUCACCUACACAAACUUUUGGCCAACACAGCAUUCUUCAUUUUUGUUGUGCCUUUCUAAUGUAAUAUGAAACAGAGAAGAGGAUAUAGUCAUAAGGUGGGAGAUAAGACAUCUUCAAAUCUAAGUUAGAUUGAGCUUUGAUUUUAGAUUUUAAUAGGCUGAUUUAACACUAUGCAACUGUUGCUGAUGCAUGCAGCAAAGACAGCCCCAUGUAUUUAUGCACACUGAAUGUUAACAUGGAAUUUGCUUUUUUUUAUUCAACUCAAUUUGCUUCCAAUUUUUCUCUUCCUUUACAUGAUUUCUUUUUUUAAUUCUUACUGGUUGCUAAGUAACUGUAGCAGUAUUGCUGCAGAUGUGCAAUAGGCAUAUCUGCUUACUGUGGUGGUCUUUCUUUUUAAGUAAAAAAAAUACUUCAGCAUAAUAAAAAUUAUACUGAAAGUAAUGAUAGCCUGAUAAAAGAUGGUUUUUAUUAUGCCAGAUUUUUGUGGCCAUGUAUACAUUGUGUCAACUGAUGGUAGAAAGUUUUUGUGAGGAGUGCAUUAUUCUCAAAUGGAUUAUUUUAGCAGCAUCAACCACCAUAGGACUACCUGUCCCAGAGAUUUAUAUGCACAUAGGAUAUGACAUACAGGCAGUCUUGUCACACUGGUGGCAUGUGAGGUGGGAUUUUCUUGACAGCAUACUCAUACUAAAAUAGAAUAGGCCAGAAUUUGCAAGAUCAUGGACUCUGAUUUCUAUCAGCUUCUGUAGAUAUUUCUGGGUAAAUCAUGAAUCUUUUCACUGGCUAAGUUCUAAAAUUUCUACCCCUGAAGGCUGGCAAGUUUCUCUUUGAUUUUUUCAGUACAGUACUCCACUUUAGCCAAAGUUUUAUGGGAACAUAAUGCAUGUGGGUCUCAUGGCAAAAUGAAAGCUCUUGAUUCAUUUGCGUGGCCCCUCACAGAUAAUGUGCAUGUUAUUCAAGUGUCACAGUAGUCCUUUCUGAAUUAAUUUCCCUGAGCAUUGCAGACCUCGUUGUGCUCUUGGUAGUAAGGAAUCUCUACACCAAGUAUUUUGCCUGUUCUGUGUCACCUCUUGGCAGACAGUACUGUAGUUUACUGACUGGUCCAUGUGAGGCACAACACCUAUCUCUGUUAUCAGUUGCUUCUCUGUGUAAGAGAACUGUGUGUGAAAUGUAAGAGUUAAAAUACCUAUUGAUUAUUAAUUUGAGAGGAAAAUAACAGAAUUCAUAUACAUCAGCAAAUGAUUGCUCUACUGAUAGAUUUCAUUUUAGCAUUUACUAAUUUGGGUGUGUGCUAUUUUGUACCUGCAGCAGGAUUUUGAUGUAGAUUUUUAGCAGCAAUUAUAUAGAGAGAGACUGUUCUCUUAGUGUAGGAAAAACAGUAGAGUUGUAAUUGUUGACAUUAUUCAAAACUAAUAAAUGGCAUAUUUUGGAUAUUUUGUUAGUACUUAAUUUAUUGUAUCUAGGUUAGGACGGUUCCAUUUAUUUUGUCUUUUUGUCUUCAGUUUAAUCAAAUGUGUCCAUUAAGUGUAGGAUGUGGCAUUUGAAUUCUCUUAGGGCAUGCUUGCAGGAGAUUGAUUUUUGCCUGUGUUUGCAGAGAGUGAAGGAGUUUGCCCAUGUAAUCUCCAGAAAGGUCAGAUCUUGAUUUAAUAAGUGUAUGAUUCAGGAACAUAAACCUCAUUCUUUAGGACAUCACAUUAAUAUUUAUUGGGGUCUGAAUACUACAAAGACCGACUAAUUAGGUACAGAAUCUUUUGUGUGUUGGUUAAACUGGCUGAAAUCCAGUUUUGCUCAAGAGGGAUUAAAAUUGUUCCAUUACGAUAAAUCUACUAAGCAGGGGACUCAUAUUCCCAUUAGUUCCUAUGGUUCAGACUAGUGUGUAGGUACACCUUUCUUAUGACUAGUAGUUAAUGGCAGUUGACAUUUUUAAUAAAUUCAGUGAAGAAUAUUUUGAAAAGGAAUCAUCUCCUAUUGCUGAUGGUAGAGUAAGAAGUAGGCAUCAGUGAGGGAGCCCAGCACAAGCUAUACAACUGCAUCUCUAAGAGAUGCUGACUGUCCCAACUUAUGCAGCACUUGUCUUGUGCAGAAAGGGAGAGAAGACCAGAAACCUGGGCUAGGAGUGGCUUAAAGGAAAAGAGCCAGAUAUGCUAACAGAAUGCUAACAGUCAGACCCAGUUUUAAAUGUGCAGAAAAAUUAAGACGGCUACUGUAUUGAGACAGUGACAGAAAAGCAACUCUGAAAGUGAAGCAGGGAGAUGAGGCUACUGUCUAAAUAGUGGGCUGAUAUGCACACCUAUAGUCAUAGUACUUCCUAGGUGUGCAAAACAAUAUGAUACAAACACCACCAGGCUGAACUGAGCCUGUAAAUCCACAAGACUCAGUCUGGAUGGGGCCCAGAAUGAGUGCAGCUAUAUUUACAUAGUGCCAGCCCUAAUCAAAUAUGCCCUGCCUCUGGACUCCAUUCAGCUGUUUCUCAAAUACUUUUGAUUACAAAUUUGUGGGUUAGAAAGGAUAAGAUUAGAUAAAGCAAUUACUAAUCUCAGUAUUUUUGUAAAGUGGGAAAGAGAAUGUAUGCAGUGUAACAGCUGAAAAAAAUCCUGAUGCCCCGCUAGAAAAUUCCUAGAAUGAGUGGGCUUGAGAAACACUUGCCACUAAAAGCUCAUGCCUUAUGCUAAGGGAAGAAGCCACAGAGUCAAAACAGAAUUGAAAAAAUAAGGGUGGGAAAGACCUCAAAAAGAAUUAUAUGGCACAGAAGGACACUAAGCAGAACUACCAGAAUUUCUUUUUUUCCAAAGAAAUGUGGAAACUACUGUUCACAGGCAUGCCACCAGAAGGUGCAGAGCCACGUGGGGAUAAGAGUAUGUUCUGUCAGCCCAGGAUGCUCCAGCUGAUCCUGCUUCUUGACAUCACAAAUGGUGAUACAGACCAAGGUAGGGAGGAUACUGAGGAAGCAGGCUCGUGUCUCAUGGGAAUGCUGAAGUGAAGAAAGGGAAGUAAGCACUAUAUAUGUUUGAGGAAAUUGAAGAGAAUGCACUCAAAUGUACCUGUGGUUGAUCAGCUUGGAGGCACUUUCUGGACUAGUCAGUAAGAGACAAAUAUUGAUGGAACUUGCCUGACCUUGAAUCAACAGAAACUUUGUUUUCAUAGAGCGCAUAGCAUCUGAUAACAGAGUGAUUCAGCUAAAGAACUUUGCACCUCUGCACAGUAUCGUCAACAUUAUGGUAACUCUGGAGGGAUAAUGAGAUUCUAAAAAUACUUGGAUGCAGCUGUGGGAAUCUUUGCUCCUGUUAUUUUUUUGUUUGUUUUUCCUUCUGACGAGUAUUAUUCUAAAAUAGAAAAAUAUUACUUCAUAAAACUUCAUUUAAGCCCCAUGCCCCAAAUCUUCAUGACUCUCAUCUCUCACUAAAAGGGAGAAUAAUGGGCAGGGAGCUAACCCAUCUGCAUAAACUAUUUACCCAGAACUCCUGAUGGCGUAAAACCACAGAGAAGUGCUUUCUACUUUUAGUUAUUGGCACACAGGGAAAAGUCAGCCCUCAGAAAGCUUCAUUUGCAUCAACUUUCAACUCAGCCCUUCCCCACUGAUGUUCUUGAACCAUCAUAACAGGAAACAAAUUAAAAAUGGGUUUGAAUAGCAAAACUGAAGUUAAUGCAGGAUUCAGUUUGGAGUCCUUCUCCAGCAGGACUGCAAAGAAAGUGAAGUGUCUUCCAGAAGCUGAAGAGCAUGAUGGCACUUUUGGAUUAGCUCCAGGAGAGCCUCUUUUGUCACAGAGCUAAACAGAGCUGAAACGGUCAUCGUUGGCUGAACUGAAGGACAGGGCUGGGCAGUGUUCCCAAGGGCCUGAAGCCUCUCUGUGAGCCCUCUUGGACAGUACUACAUGAUAAAAACCAUGCACCAAACAGAGAAGUGACAAAUGCAGUCCUGAUGGCUGUGGCCUGAAGGGAAGAGCUGCCUUCCUGCCAGAAGAGGAGGAAGACUCUAUUAACAUCUGGUGACAGGAGGGGAGCAAAGGGGCAGCUCUGAGACACGGUUUGCUGCUGGCGUACUAGGUGAGAUAUUUCUCUUUGUAAUAGGCAGAUGUAUCAUAACACGAGUGAAAUUGUGUAGUUGCAGUACUGGGCGUACAUCUGGGCAAAUCAGCUCAUGCAAAAGCGGUUUGGAGAGCAAAAGUUGUAGACUGACAAGGCAGGACAGGAAGUCUAUUUUGUAAGCCCCCUUUGAACAGCAAAAACCUCUGUGCAGCCCUGUGUGUUACAGGCUCUUGCUGGAGAGCAGAGGGAACUGAGGAGCAGGUGCCAAUAGCAGAGCAGCAGUGAUUACUCACACGAGCUUGGAGCUGCAAAGGCCGUUUGGAGCAACAGGGCAGCUGAGGCAAGGGGCAAGAGCCACCAGCAGAGAUGGCCACAAGCUGAGAUGGAAAUGAUCAUCGGACCUGUGGAGCUUCAGAAGCUGUAGGCCUUGCCUGCCUCCUCAGCAGUGUAGGUAACAUAUCCCCCCAGCCCAACAGCCACAACCUGCAAGACUGUGGUGUUACUGUAGGAUGAGAAAAACAGCCUUGGGGCCCACCACAAGAGAUGAAAGAGAAGGAAUAUAAAUAAUAUGCUUGCACUUCUGGAAAGCAAGCAUUAAAUACUACCCUUCUCCCUUACCACUUCUUCCCUGCUUCAGUGAAAUAUUGUUUCAAUAUUUAAGUUCAUCUGCCAUUUGCAAAUGGGAAUAAUUAGCUCACUUAGUUUUCAGGUUUAUAUUUUUUUCAAGGGUAUAUAUUUAAACUGAUGUUUACUAGAAACUUCCAAACUUAAAACUCAUAUAUUUUGCUGCCAUUAAAACCCUGACAGAAGGGUUGUAUUUUCCUAUCUUCUUAAACAUGGUAUUUCCUGAAGUAUUUUUCAGUUGAUAGUAAGUUCUAAUAAAUACUCAGAAAGGUGUGAGAAGUCCCACAUGCUGCCAUGUACUUCCAUUUACUGCAGGGCAUCAUUGAAUCUUCAGACUUGUUCUUAUUUAAGUUAUAUGUUCCGAUACCUCUCCUCUUAUUACAGCUUGAAUACAUGCUCUAGCUACUUGUAAAAAGCACAAGGUCAUCAACUGUCUCACAGUUGUUUAUGGAGUGCAGCAUUAUGUUAAAUGCCUCUGCCAUACUCAAAAGAGUGGCUCUUCCUUCAGUGGAGAUUGUAUAACAUCAACAAUGAGGCACCAGAAGUGACUGGCAAUCUGAGACCAAUUUGUAUGAGCAGGCUGCAUUCCUCCCACCUACUUCCCUCUGGGGCUAGGAAUGCAAUUGGUAAAGGUGAUUAUAAUGCAUCUUCCUCAUUCUAAGUGUGGGUGUUUGACAGGAUAUUCUUCACAAGGAACCCUGAUGGCUUUGUGAUGCUUUCUUGCUCUUGCUCUGAAAUGUUCUGGAGUUACUCAUUUUGUGGCAUAAAGCUUGGCUCAUUUGUUCUAACUUUCCUUUAAAGAGGGGAACGAAAGCAUGAAAUAUAGGCAUCCCCAUCGACCCUGGAUAGUAGCUUGUGGGAGAAAUUCAAUAGAUCACAUUUUUGCUUUUGCAAUCUGAAACGGCUGAUAGGACAUGUGGUAGUUAAGCUCUUUAAAUUAUACUAAAUUUCAAAAAUAGGAGAAGAAAAUCUUCAACUUAAUAGAAGUUACUGGUAGUUCAGGUAGAAUUUUUAAAAGAUCCUACACCCAGUACUGACUUAACUUACUUUUAUUUUUCAUUUAAAUAUUCAUGGCUUACUGCAUUAGUAAUAUAUGAAAAUAUAGCUUGUUAGUUCUUAGAAAGGUCAAGUUUCUCUUAACACUUCUAUCUGUAGUCUCUGCCUACUUUAAAUAUGGACCCCAACAUAUAAACCACACAUUGUGGUUUUCAGUGGUCACCAAGAUAUUAAUUUAUAAAACUGUUUUUCUGUAGGCCUCUUCCAUGUACUAAUCUCACAGUAGAGAAUACUCAUCUUUUAUUUAGCUCAGUAUACUUUUCUAGCCCACUUUCCAAUGUUCCAAAGUUUCUAAGUAAUCAACUGUAACUUCCAAUAAUACAAAAAUAGCAUGUCAUUACCAUUAAGCACCAAAUGCAAGGAUUUAAUUUUAAACCAUUUCUCCUUCCCCUGUCUGAAGAAAUGCCUCUGCUAUAAUUUUUAACCUUUCAUCAGCAUAAUUGCUAAAUAAUUAACAAUGGUUAAAUUACGAGAACCUGGGAGAUUUGAAAAUUAUUACUGAAGUGGUGUGUAUUUCACUGAAGCAAUGACCUAUAUGCAUCUGUUUCAAAAUAAAAGCAAUAUAUAUUCACUAGCAGCAGCACAAAUUCAUUUUUUGGGCUAGAUCUUCUGAUAUAUGUGCUUAUGCCUUAGCCAUAGCUGCCUUGGACUUAUGUUAGGGUGUAAAGACCCAUCUCACUGCAAAGCUCUGCUUGUGUGCUGAGGCUGAACUCUCCUUCUCCAAGGUUACCUCAUAAUGCUUUGCAAUGUCUUCAUUUCCACUAAUAGAAAUUACUUAUUACACUGAAUAAGCCAUGGAAAACAAUGUAAAGGCUCUAUAAAACCUUUCUAUUUUUGUAGUAGUUACUUCUGUUAGCUGAGCUGAUUUGCAUUUGCAUGCUGAGCUUUUCUACAGUUUCUCCAAUCUUCUCAAUGAGCUUCAUGUGCUGAUUUUGGAUAUGCCUUUUAUACACCAUUUAGAAGCUGACAGUCAGCCUCUCCAUCCUUUCCAGUCUCUAUGAGUCAUCAGGAUUUACUCACUCUCCUUUGUCUCCUAACCUGGGUAUGCUUAAAAGCUCCACAAAGAUCUCCUGGGAUUCUGAUGACCUGCUAAGCUGGGUCCCGACAUGUGGGCCCUUAUGUCCUCUCCUGCCCUUUGUUCCAGGCACUCCCAUUCAUUCUUCGCUCAUCCAAGCUUAACAUUUCUACUACAGCUCUGUGUAACAAGUAGAGGAACCCAGGGAGGAAUUGGAGGUAUUUACUGGUGGGGGGAAGAGAGUAAGUGUAGGAGAAAUCAUGGGAGCAUGACUUGGACAGCAUAAAUCUGUCAGAAGCCUGGCUGAUCCCUAAAUGAAUUAUUUUUUCAGGACAUUCUGAAGUUCAUCCUUUUCAUAGAUGUUUGACUUCCCAAUAGCUUUUAGCAAAAUCAUGGAAAGUUCUCAGUGACUUUCACUCACCAUUUUGAGAAUGUGGCUAUCUCUUCUAUCUAAUCACAUAUCUGCAUCUUCCCUGUCCACAAUGUUCUUCUUUCCAUGUACCUUUAGGGGAGGAUGUGAUUCUGCAACCAGUGGUUGAUGCAACUACCCUUUGAAUUGCAAUUUCCUCCAAUUUGAUCCAAACAUCUCAAUAGUCACUUCUUUCUUUCCACAUUCUUUCAUCUGUUGUGGUGCCAUUCAUAGUCAGUCAAAUUUUAUUCAAUUUUUUGGCUGAGGGUUUGGGGGAAGUAGUGGCAGAGAGCUUCUUUUGGUUUGUUUUUCUGUUGGAGGUUCCAAGGGACAUAGUUUGCAGAAUUACCAGUAGUGCCUAUGCAAUCCUAAUGACUCUUCACUCCUGUCACUUUAUUUAUGCCUUUGAGCUUUUUAAAUCAGGGGCACCUGGCUGGAAACAAAGUGAAGUGGCUGCCUGAAUGUUUUCACAAAUAAAAGUAAUGUGUCUGGUGCUUCAGCUAAAUCCCCACCACUUCCUCCCAGAGUAUUUAGCACAAGGGUGUUCAGCAGGCUUUGGCUUUGUUAAACACCUGCUCAGAAAAUCUGCUGACUACUGGAGGCCCCAGGAGCACAGCAACCCCUUCAACGCUUGCUUUUGAAAAUGCUGGUCUAACAACAGCACAGCAGUUGAGAUCCUCUUCGAGAAAGUGCUCUAAAUGCAAAUUUUAAUCAAUGCCAUUUCCUCAUAGAUCAGUCCCUCUAGCUUCCUAAUUAUCAGCACCAGCUCUGAAUUGUCAUUAUACUUCUCAUGUUGAUGUCCAGAUUGAAAGUGAUAUCUUCCUGUGCUGCACAGGAAAGGAUUAUCAUUUUGCUGCUCUAUCAGGGAUCUGAGCACACAACAUGAAGCUCAUUAGCACACCUUCCUCUCCUGUGCACAAGGUUCCACCAUUGCAGCUUUCCUACUGUAAAGGUACUUAUUUUUUUAUUCUUCUUUUAAAACAACCCAAAUAAACAAAAACUGCAUGAUGCUUGUGCAGUACUCUCAUGUAUAGCUGUUUUUAAGAAAUGCCAAAAUGAAAGUUGAGCCAACAUCAGCCUUAUUUUAUUACACGGUUCAUAAAUAAUGUGACCAUAACUGCUGUUUCCCUUUAUUCCUGUGUGAACAUUUUUGCAGCCUCCUGAAAAACUGAAAACCUCUAGAUCAAUAAAAAGAAAGUGAGUUUUCACUAGUAUGGCUUACAGGCACCUAAGCUUUCAAUACUACUGUUAAAUAAUUUUCCUCUGCAGCAAAAAAUAUGUGAAAUUUGUUGGCAAGCAAGUGUUCUGUUUUAUAUGUAGCUAGAAUAUAAAAAUAAAGUAUAAUUCCUAUAUUAUAAUUAUUUAGAAAAUAACCACAUGCAUCCUGUUUCUAUUACCAAUAAACAGAGCUGGUUUAUUGAUUUAAUAUGUAAAAAUAAUCUUGUAGGUUGUUUAGUUUCCUUAUGAUUGGAUGUAACCUUGUUACACCUGUUAUAUAUAUAUAUUAUUACUGGUGUUUAUUGUUAAUAUAAUAACAAAAAUGAGAAUAUGAUCAUAUAAAAAACUUAAAUCCUUUUACUGCAAAAAAUGGUAAACAUUUUGCAUGUUUUAGAAAUUUUGGUUCUGAUUCCUUAAAUGGAGAGUCUUAAGACUUUUGCAAAGCAAAGAGAAAUAUCUACAUUUUUGCAUUUAAAUCUGAAAUUAGAAAUGCAAAUUGUAUUUUUAAAAGACUGUAUAGUGGCUCAGCACUCAGGAUACUGUAGUUUAUUAACAACUUUUGGAGGCAUGCUCUGCCAGAGAAGCCUAAAAAUGUAAUUGAAAAAAUGCAUGGUGGCCACUGAUAAAAAUAAGGAUAUUAAUGAAAAUGCAGAAUAGAAAAACUUGAAAUCUAUUCAAGGGCGGGAGGGAAUUUUGAAGCAUAAUGUGGAUUAAAUCCAAAUACAAUGUUUUAUUUACCAACUACAACAACAGAAAGACUUUAGGGUUUUGUUUGUUUUCUGCUUAGCUUUGCUGCUGAUUAACUGCUGCAAAUGUUGAAAAUUGCGUAUCUGUGUCCUACUCCCUGGGAGAAUUUUCAGUUAUGAUCUGGGAUGGAUCCCGUACACUGGCUCUGGGAAGUAAACUGCCUUUGGUAAGAGCAGGUUGGAUCUGAACUCUAAUGUAUGCUUUACAGAACAGAGAUAUCCAAAGCCAGAUUUGUCAGUUUGACUCAUCUUUCCUGCAACUAAAAGCUCAUUGUGCUACUCCAAGAGACUUCUGGUAAUUAGAAAUCUGAUUUUAAAACACUCAUAUACUAACAUGGUUUAUAGGUGAUCUAAAGUCCAGACCUCAGUUCUGCCACACAGUUCUGGAACUACAGAAAUGUGUGAAAUGAGCAGGGAUACUUGUCAGUAGUUGGCCACGUAUACAGGCCUGAUUACAAGAUUUCCAUUCCAGUGAAAAACCGUAUCUAAUUCUGCUGAUAUUUUACUGAACUAAGCAACUUCAUAUACAUAAGUAAUCACCUUGAAACAAGAGCACUAACUGUACUGAUGAGGCUUAGCAGGAGUGGAACAAGAAUUAUGAAAAGGCUUGUCUUCCCCUUCUAUAAAAAAUUGUUGUUUCCUACGUUGGGUUGAAAAUUAAGAAGAAUGAGGGAAGGAGUUGUACAUAACUGCCUGGGAAAUGUCUGUGCAACUUACAAAUUCUGGUUGAUGUCAAAACAUUUCUGUAUUACUAAACAUCACAGUGUAGGUGUAACCUGUACAUGCUACCAGAGGCUGACAUGCUCAAAAAUUGGAAUAUUGGAGUACCCCUGAACUUUGCUGUUGUACUCAGUGCAAAGGCCCUUGAAGAAUUUCACAGCUUGGUUAGGCAAAUUUGUUGGACAACAGCAAAAGGUUUGAAGAGAGGAUUGAUACCAGGAGAGGCACAAUGGACUGACUGAGUAGCCUGAGGGAAGGGCACAUGUGACUUAACAGGAGGGAUUUAUUUUUUUAACUCAAGGUAGAGUACAGUUUGAUGAACACUUCCUUCAGUGAAAGUACUGGAUAAACCAACUUUGCAGAGAGGGAAAGAGGAUGGUUUUGAUUUUGGUCAUUUCUCCAGCCUGGCUCACUGUGUAACUGCACAAAUUAAAAUGCACAACAGAAGGGCAGUGGUGAAGGGGCAGGUGCAAAUUAAGUUAGGGCUUAUCAAACUCUGGCUGAGGUGACCCCCCACGGACGAGAGCCUAUCUGCAGGUGGGAGGAUGCAGGGACACGUGCCAUCUUCUGGCUGACAGAGGCAUGAGUAGACAGGCAGAAUGGGUGUAGCGAGAACACUUUGAGCUAAGCCCAAAGCAUGUUUGGUAGGAGGGAAAGGUAGGGAGGAAACAUAAAUAAGGAAAUGCAUAAUGAAGUUUCUACUGUUAGCUAGAGGCAAAGCUAAGCAGGCUGUUUGCUUCUCUUAUGGCGCAACACUGAAGUGCAAACUCUAGGUAUUAAACAGGCCAUCAAGUUUGAGUUCAGAAAAGGAUUUGAGCUAGUGAGAAUGCUGAGGAAGUUAUAGGGGAAGAGCUGGCACCAGCACUGCUGACAGCAACCAUGGGGCAUAAGGACAUGUUUCUGUGAAAGGGUUAUAGAUGGCCUGGAUGGUACAGCAAUCAGUGAAAACGCUUGGGGCUUGUUUAUCCUCAGGAAGGUUUAAAAGCGUGCUGCUUUUGACUGCACACACUUAGCAUGCUCAUGAAUUUUAAGAAGGAAGGUUCAUUAGGACAAUCUGCUGCAAUGUCAAGAUACAGAAAACUCAAAUGUUUUCUUGCCAGUCCUGAGAAUACCAACUUUCAGUCGGUUUUUUUUUUCACUAUUUUAUUCAAGAUUCAUACAAUAUAGGCAUUCAUAAAUACAGGGCAGCAAAAUAUAAGCAACAUACUUGCUUUUAGAAUAAAAAGGCAAACAGUAGUCUGGCUUUAGUUGCUAUUUAUAACUAGAGGGCACACAUGUUGUAUUUAUGGAUAAAGUACCUAAGAUAGCCACAGUUAUGAAAAAGGGUUUUGGAGAAGAAUUAAUGAAAACCAAUUAUUUUGUAAAAUCAUGGGAAACUAGCGGAGUUCUUGCAAAAUGCAUAAGCAAAACAAUCUCACAGCUCUGUGUUUGCUGCAUUGUUUCAAAUAUAUCAAUAUUCCAAAUAUACUUCUGGUUCAGUUAAACCAAACACUUCAAAAAUCCUGUAUUGUGAGCCUGUGUAGAAGUAAGCAAUAAAAGUCAGAAAUAGUAUCAUCACUUAGCAAGCAAUACAUCCACCAAAGAAGCACAGAACUUAAAAAACCCUAGCUCCAGAUGGCCAUUUCCUUAGGUAUAAUACUGCUUCCUCUUCCAGCUCAAUACACAAACCUGUAAAAGACCACCACAGUUUUUCUGAAAGAUGCAAGCACAUGAUACUGCAAGUAGUUGUUUCUUUUCCAUAAAGUCUGAGAACAAACACGGCAGCUGCAAAAGGAUCCAAACAAACCACACAGAUCAGCUGGCCAGAUUUGAUGGGUAGGUAUAGACAGCUUGUCGUGAUAGUUGUGAGUCAGCAGCUGCAUACCCUGCACUGAACUGUGGGAAGGAAUUCACCUAACCCUGCCUCUCUGAACCUAAAGCAAUUAAAUACUAAGAAAGAAUUAAACUGUAGCUCUUAGUGCUGAAAAGUUAAGUAGAUUUAAAAACCUUUACGACCAUCACAAGAUACUCUUGAAACAAUUAGGUACUCACCAAUAUUUGUUGCAGUAGAAGAAGUCAACUUGUAUACAACAAAAUUAUUAAUACUAACUUUCUUACCUAAUGCAAGUACAGAAAUGUUUUCUCCUCCUUGCCAUGCUCUCAAAGUGGAGUUGUACGCAUGUAUUUGAGCUGCUUCUGACUGUGCUCCCUGUGAUUCCUUUCCUUUUAUCCACGUAUAUUUGAUAAAUUUCCUUACAGUUUGUAGUGCUGAAAGUUUAAUUCAUAGUACAUUGGGUUUUCAACCUGAUCACUGGUACAGUGAAUAUGAGGAGUUUUAACACUGUUUUCUUUAGAAAGGAUCAUUUACUGAAAUAAAAUUUGCUAUGAGUCUCUAAGGGAAGGGAGUUUUAUCUUUUGCAUAUAAAAAUGUAAAUUUUUAUGUUUUGUAAAAUUUUGUUAUGUACAGUAACUCAAUGUGUGAUAACGUUCUUCAACAAUAUUUGUUUUUUAUUAAAGGUUUUCAGCAUUACCUUA
Molecule: long non-coding RNA, 15882 nt
Organism: Myiozetetes cayanensis
Lineage: Eukaryota; Metazoa; Chordata; Aves; Passeriformes; Tyrannidae
Exons: 2
Source: RefSeq, a predicted model, not a curated record